RNAcentral lists this ribosomal RNA (428 nucleotides) under uncultured bacterium. RNAcentral's name for it is "bacterial SSU rRNA". It matches the Rfam family "Bacterial small subunit ribosomal RNA", at positions 355 to 775 of the family's 1533-position model. The record is from RNAcentral.
UCGAGAAUACUUCACAAUGGGGGAAACCCUGAUGGUGCAACGCCGCGUGGAGGAUGAAGGUCUUCGGAUUGUAAACUCCUGUCAUCCGGGAGUAAGACCUGGCGGUCAAUAGCCGACAGGGUUGAUAGUACCGGAAGAGGAAGGGACGGCUAACUUCGUGCCAGCAGCCGCGGUAAUACGAAGGUCCCAAGCGUUGUUCGGAAUCACUGGGCGUAAAGGGAGCGUAGGCGGCGUGGUAAGUCAGAUGUGAAAUCCCGGGGCUCAACCCCGGAACUGCAUCCGAUACUGCCAUGCUUGAGGGUUGGAGAGGUGACUGGAAUUCUCGGUGUAGCAGUGAAAUGCGUGGAUAUCGAGAGGAACACUCGUGGCGAAGGCGAGUCACUGGACAACAUCUGACGCUGAGGCUCGAAGGCCAGGGUAGCGAAAGG